RNAcentral lists this ribosomal RNA (776 nucleotides) under uncultured Neocallimastigales. RNAcentral describes it as "partial large subunit ribosomal RNA". It matches the Rfam family "Eukaryotic large subunit ribosomal RNA", at positions 25 to 628 of the family's 3401-position model. Lineage: Eukaryota; Fungi; Neocallimastigomycota; Neocallimastigomycetes; Neocallimastigales. The record is from RNAcentral.
CCGUCUAUAUACGUAUAGCAUAUCAAUAAGCGGAGGAAAAGAAACUAACUAGGAUUCCCUCAGUAACGGCGAGUGAAGCGGGAAGAGCUCAAAUUUGAAAUCUUCAAGGUUCUACCUUGACGAAUUGUAGUUUAAAGAAGUGUUUUCUGUUGGAGUUUUGGUAAAAGUUCUUUGGAAUAGGACAUCAUAGAGGGUGAGAAUCCCGUAUUUGACCAUUAUUUCCAACUUUGUGAUACACUUUCAAAGAGUCGGAUUGUUUGGGAAUGCAGUCCAAAAUGGGUGGUAAAUUUCAUCUAAAGCUAAAUACUGGCGAGAGACCGAUAGCGAACAAGUACCGUGAGGGAAAGAUGAAAAGAACUUUGAAAAGAGAGUUAAACAGUACGUGAAAUUGUCAAAAGGGAAGCGUUUGACACCAGUGUUGUUUUCUCGAAAAUCAAUUAAAAAUGGUGGGAUUCUGUGUUGUAUUGACUUUAUCAGCUUUCUGCACUUUUUUCCUAUCUUUUUUAAUGCACUUUUCGUUUAACAAGUCAACAUCAAUUUCUUUUGUUGUAAAAGGGUCAUUGGAAGGUGGCUUUCUUUUCGGAGAAAGUGUUUAUAGCCUUUGAGCUUCUGCAAUCGGAGAGAUUGAGGUCUGCAGCGUAGAUCCUUCGGGGUUAGAUACAUUUGUGCUAAGCUAUAGCCUUUCAUAGACAACUUGUUGACUAUGAUCAGUCAUGUAGCUUACUCGCUUAUGCUAUUUUACCUACGCUUAGGAUGUUGACGAUCAGCUGAGCGCG